Molecule: ribosomal RNA, 371 nt
Filed under: uncultured bacterium
Lineage: Bacteria
Description: bacterial SSU rRNA
Rfam family: Bacterial small subunit ribosomal RNA
Source: RNAcentral
ACUCCUACGGGAGGCAGCAGUAGGGAAUCUUCCACAAUGGGCGCAAGCCUGAUGGAGCAACACCGCGUGAGUGAAGUAAGGGUUUCGGCUACGUAAAGCUCUGUUAGUUAAAGAAGAACACGUAUGAGAGUAACUGUUCAUACGUUGACGGUAUUAACCAGAAAGUCACGGCUAACUACGUGCCAGCAGCCGCGGUAAUACGUAGGUGGCAAGCGUUAUCCGGUAUUUAUUGGGACGUAAAGAGAGUGCAGGUCGGUUUUCUAAGUCUGAUGUGAAAGCCUUCGGCUUAACCGGAGAAGUGCAUCGGAAACUGGAUAACUUGAGUGCAGAAGAGGGUAGUGGAACUCCAUGUGUAGCGGUGGAAUGCGUAG